GCGUGUUUGAUCGCUAUCUGGGGAUGCGUGUGGACUUCAAAUCCAUAGCUCGAUAACUCGAGAGUUGUUCGAUUCAACCUGACGCGC
Transfer RNA from Dictyostelium discoideum AX4, 87 nucleotides. It matches the Rfam family "Selenocysteine transfer RNA". The record is from Rfam. NCBI's taxonomy places the organism in Eukaryota, Evosea, Eumycetozoa, Dictyosteliales, Dictyosteliaceae.